Molecule: non-coding RNA, 69 nt
Organism: Rattus norvegicus (Norway rat)
Lineage: Eukaryota; Metazoa; Chordata; Mammalia; Rodentia; Muridae
Source: Rfam
GGGGAUUUGGCUCAGUGGUAGAGCGCUUGCCGAGGAAGCACAAGGUCCUGGGUUCGAUCCCCAGCCCCG